CAUUGUCUCUCGAUAGAAUAGGAGAUAAGACCUGCCCAAUGAUAAUUUAAUGGCCGCAGUAAUUUGACUGUGCAAAGGUAGCAUAAUCAUUAGUUUUUUAAUUGAGGACUGGUAUGAAAGGUAUAACGAGGUAUUUGUUUUCUUGGGUGUAAUAUAAAAUUUUACUUUUUAGUUAAAAGGCUAAAAUAAAAUUAAGGGACGAGAAGACCCUAUAGAGUUUUAUAGAUAUAAUUAGGUUAUUUUAGAAAAUUUAAAAAUCUGGUGGAGUUUAUUUAGUUGGGGAGAUUUUGUAAUAAAACUUAUAAUUAUAGUAACAUUUAUAUAUGGCUAUAUGAUCCAAUUGUUGAUUAAAAUACUAAAUUACCUUAGGGAUAACAGCGUUAUUUUCUUGGAGAGUUCUUAUCAAUAAGGAAGUUUGCGACCUCGAUGUUGGAUUAAGAAAAUGGUUAAAUGUAGUCGUUUAACAAAUAGGUCUGUUCGACCUUUGAAUUCUUACAUGAUCU
RNAcentral lists this ribosomal RNA (503 nucleotides) under Tricorythus sp. BMNH 704106. RNAcentral describes it as "partial 16S ribosomal RNA". It matches the Rfam family "Bacterial large subunit ribosomal RNA", at positions 1826 to 2606 of the family's 2925-position model. Lineage: Eukaryota; Metazoa; Arthropoda; Insecta; Ephemeroptera; Tricorythidae. The record is from RNAcentral.